GGAAGGAUCAUUAUUGAUUGUAAUCGUUGCCCUCAGUGCUGGCCCCCGGCAAGUGCACGCUGGUGACUUCAAUCCAAUACCCUGUGCACCAUUGGCCUUUGCUAGCUUCGGCUGGCAGAGGAUAUUUACACCCACUCGAAUGUAAUGAAAUUAUUAUUGUGCGCAAGCACGAAUGUACAACUUUCAACAACGGAUCUCUUGGCUCUCGCAUCGAUGAAGAACGCAGCGAAAUGCGAUAAGUAAUGUGAAUUGCAGAAUUCAGUGAAUCAUCGAAUCUUUGAACGCACCUUGCACCCUUUGGCAUUCCGAAGGGUAUGCUCGUUUGAGUGUCAUUGUACUCUCACACUCCCAAUUCUUUGGAUUGGGAGCGGUGGACUUGGGUGCUGCUGCUAACUGUGGCUCACCUCAAAUGUGUUAGUGCAACCAUUGGUUAAGACAUAGCACAGCGUGAUAUGUAUCUUCGCUGGCGCCUCACUCGAGGGUGGCUGACCAGGGCUCUGUGCUUCUAAUCGUCUUCGGACACUGCUGACAACUUGGCCUCAAAUCGAGUAGGACUACCCGCUGAACUUAAGCAUAUCAAUAAGCGGAGGAAAAGAAACUAACAAGGAUUCCCCUAGUAACGGCGAGUGAAGAGGGAAGAGCUCAAAUUUUGAAUCUGGCGUCUUUGGCGUCCGAAUUGUAAUCUAGAGAAGUGUUUUCCAUGACGGACCGUGCAUAAGUCUCCUGGAAUGGAGUGUCAUAGAGGGUGAGAAUCCCGUUUAUGGCACGGACUCCCGUUGUCCUGUGAUACACUCUCGACGAGUCGAGUUGUUUGGGAAUGCAGCUCCAAAUGGGUGGUAAAUGCCAUCUAAAGCUAAAUAUUGGCGAGAGACCGAUAGCGACAGUACCGUGAGGAAGAAUGAAAAGCACUUGGAAAAAAGUGAAACAGUACGUGAAAUUGUUGAAGGGAAACCCUUGAAGUCAGUCGUGCGUCGGGAUUCAGCCUGCUUCUGGCUCGGUUUACUUUCCGGUUCGGGGGUCA
Molecule: ribosomal RNA, 1021 nt
Filed under: uncultured fungus
Lineage: Eukaryota; Fungi
Description: eukaryotic LSU rRNA
Rfam family: Eukaryotic large subunit ribosomal RNA (bases 535-1021)
Source: RNAcentral